RNAcentral lists this non-coding RNA (27 nucleotides) under Mus musculus (house mouse). Lineage: Eukaryota; Metazoa; Chordata; Mammalia; Rodentia; Muridae. The record is from RNAcentral.
GCCUUUGGGACUGCCGCCACAGCCGCU